GGUAGUUUUGUCCUCCCACAUUCUUCCUCCAACUCAUGAAUAGUCUAUUUGCUGUCAAUCCAUUAGUGCAUAUCAUACCACCCUUCAUUCUUCUUUAAUCUUCCUCAUUCAAGUGUCAAACCUACACUAACUCUUUGAAUAGAGAACUUAGAAACACUGUACUGUGAUAUCAUGCCAAUCUUGUCUCCAUCAAUACAAAGACUUCUCCAUAUUGUGUUCCCAUCCUACACUAACUAACAAACCUAGUCUUUUUUUCUCACAACAUCAGCCUGUUGAAAUAUCUUUCCUGCCAAUUUUUUUCUUGCAAACUUACAAUUAUUUAAGUGGAACAUUAAUCAUGUCAGCAAGGCCAAUUCAAUAAAAGUAAAAGCAUUUUGUAUAAGAUAGAAAAGACUCUUUACUAUAAUAGAACAUCUUUAAUGAACAAGGAUUCAUUAAUAAAAUAAAGAAGUUUUCUCUGAGCAUUGUCCAGUCUGCAGGAAUGAAAAGCAAUGAAUGUGUCAGUUUGGACUUUGUAGUGAAUGAAUUGUUUGGUUUGUUUUGACUCUAAAUUGGAACCUACACUCUUAAUAGUAGGUUGGCUAAUGUGGUCUUCUGAAAAGACUAUUACUGACAAUAUAGUAGGAAUUGGAUUUUGAUUUAUAUGCUUCAGAUAAUUUUAAUUCUAGACAACUUCACAUCAUGUGAGUCAAGACAUUUCUAUGUUCUAUAAGUAAGAGUAAGAUAAUAUUUAUAGUGUUUACAUACAUCUGUUUUAUCUGUGUAGAGUCAUUUUUUUUAAAUUGAGGUUUAUCCAUGUAAUGUAUGUGUAGAGUGGAUUCGAUUACAUAGUCCUUAGAUACAUCUGUCAUUUGAGGGGUGUGUAAGAUUGAAUAUCUUCUAGAAUAUGGUUACCUGUUUUGUUACAAAAAAAAAAAUGACAGUAUUAAUACAUCAAUAGAAGUGAUUGUAGAUCAGGAUAUUUUUCUUAUUGUUCAUUUGUCUGGAGAGAAAAGACAAUGUAAUUUUUUUUUUGUACCUUCCAUGACAUGGAUUAAUUUCAUUUAACAAAUAAAGCACAAUAGAUCAUGAUCAUGGCUGUCAGGCACAGGUCGACAGGCCACAAUCGUGGCCCAGAUAGAUGCAUUUAAUUUAUGGGCAUUUGUUGGGGCCUCAUGUCACUCAGACACUCCAAUACCCACAGAAUGCAAGAGGACUAAUAGUUCAACUAAUGACUUUUCAAAUGAUGUAAAACUUGCCACCAUUAUAUACUAAGAAGAUAUUUUAGCUUUUUUUUUUUUUUUUUGUGUGUGCUUUGUAGUCUCAUUUUCAUAAAAUGUGCUCAGCAGUCUAGCACUUUAUGGGUUAAUGCAAAAAUAAAAUCAUGUUUAAGAGUCAGGAAUUUAAAAAAAAAAAUUUUUAUCCUCUUAUUGUAGAAAAUUUCCUUCAUUCAGAAUCUUUCUAUUUCAUGAAGUUUUAAUAUGGCAGGAAAUGUCCUAAUUUAAAAAAAUAUUUAAGACAUUUAUAAUCUAUGUUUGUAACAAUAUAUUAAGAUACAAAAAUCAUAAUUACCUACAAUUUUUUUUUCAAGGAAUAUAGAAACCCCUUAUAUUUCUACAGUUUUAAAUUUGUGUCCCAUUUCUACAAAAUAUUUUCCAUUGUUGGAGUUAAGUGCAAAGUCUUCAACAUGAGAUUCUUUUAUUAUUUCAUGUUCGAUGGAAUUUGUGUUAAGAUGUAGUAGUAAGGCUCCCACCUACUUACCUUAAUCUUAUUUGGCAGCUAUGGCUGGCUGGCAAGGAUGUUUGAACAUGUGUCAUGCUACAUUUGUUCCACUCAUUAACUCUUAAUUUCCUAUAAGGCAGUCCUGAAAUGCACAAUAUCAAAAGAAUUGUACUAACGUUAUUUACAUUCAUUUUGAAGCUGGUGAGGAAUCCUCAAAUGUAAGGGAGAAAACUGUAAUCCCUUUUGCUCUCAUUCAGUUUUGUAACAAAAUUGUUAUCAGGCUGGCUUUUAACUAAAAAUUUUCGACAGGUUGAGUUAAAAAGGCAUUAAACUUAUGCUAGUAAUCCUAAAUUUGUAGAACCAUCAUAACUCUGAAAAAAAUAAAUAUAAAAAAAUAGUGAAGACCAUAGGCAGAUUUCUGUAGAAUUUUAGGCAAUACUAUCUUAUUUGCUUUUUAUUUAUUACAAGAAUAGCUUAGUUGGUGAAUUAAAACUCAAGCUUGUGAUGCUCGUAAACUGAAAUUUAGUAAAAAAAAAAAUAUUGAAUUUAGUCACACUUUCAAAAAUUGCAAGCAAGCUGGAAAAUUUUUCUAUAGGAACAGUUUCGCUAUUUAAUUAAACAUGACUUUUGUUGAUUUGGUGGAAGCAGUCUGAUGUAUUUUUGUCAAGUAUUAGAAAACUAUUGAAUGUAUACUGUGAGGACUUGAUUGGAGUAGUUUCAUCUAUUAGAUAUAUAUCCCUUUAAGUUACUUUUAGAAUGAGAUAAUUGCUUUUCACCAUUUUUUUGGUCCAUAUGAUGUACUUGCAAAUAUAAUUUAUUCCUUAAAACAGCACAGCUUUAAAUGUUAUGUUCUUAAUUUUUAUAGGCAUAGAUUUAGUGCAAAUUAUUUUUAUGAAAAUAUUUGGAGGGAUAUGUGAAGAUAUACUUUAAAUGGGAAAUUUGUUAAUUGUUUUGAAGAGUAAUAUAGAAGAAUAAUGAAAUAAAGUUUUUGCAUAUUUGAAGAUUUUUCAUAGUUACAGUCACACUUUUUUAUGCUUUCUCCUUUGUUUUAGUAGAAAUUAACAUAAACUGGGAUAGUAUUUUUGGUUGAUUUGUUUGUAUAAGUAAAUGUUUAUGCAUUAGUUAAAAAGAAUACCUUUACAUGCAACAGUUAAAAGCAAAUUAUACUAUUAACCUACUAGCUAAUGAGGGGUCCCUUUAUUUUAGGGGCAAGGAACUUUUUUUAAUACUAGAAGUGAAUUUUUAGUGUAUUAGAACUUUUGGGAAUGAUGCAUGUUGGGAAAACUAAUGCUUUAGUCUAAAGGCUAAGAUGGUUUUUAAAAAAUUUUUUUAUUUAUUUAUUUUGCCUCUGUUUAUUUUACCCCCUUAAAUAUAGGUUUCAGAUACUUUGGCCUGGAACUAAGCAACAAUAGUCUUCAUUUGUAAUUCAUUUCAAUUUUUUUUAAAUAUUAUUAACAACAGUAAUCAGCAGGUUGAAAAUAGAAUAUAGGAGGACAAAAUGCUGCUCUGGGGUCAACUUUGCCUUUCAUUCUUUCAGAGUCAUGCACUGGAGUUGAUGUGAUAGACUUACCCCUUCCCCAAAAUUUCAGGCUUUGUGCCUAUAGUAGAAAGGGUUAUUUUUAAAAUGUAAAUUCUUAAAUUUUAUCUCUAAUUCAGCUACCUUUUUUUAAAAUUUUUUUCUUGCUACAGUUUUCUGAUAUUAUAUGGUAUCUUUCUUGAGUUUAGUGUCAUCUCGAAGAUGUUUAUUAAUUCUUAUAAGGAUAUUCAGUAAUGUAUAUCACCAGUGUUCAAAUUCCAGUUUGGUGUUCCACCACCGAGUUUUGUUUCCUUUUUCAAGCUUGGUUUGCAUUGAUGUUGAGAUUUUUCCUUACUUUUCUCUUUACAUAGUUUACUGUCAAUAAUGGAAUACACCCAAUUGUUCUUCAGUUGGGAGGCUGAACUCUUGUUUGCUAUACCAUUAUGAAAUGCAUCUUGUGAUAAACCUUGCAUUAUUGAUUAUUAAAAUAAACAAUGGCAUACAGGACUUUACAUUGGAAAACUCUGCUUGUGACUUUUACUUGGCUUAAGUGUAUCUAUCCCAUUAGUGAAGGCUAGUUUCUGUUAGCACUUUAGUAUGGAGACAUAUAUAUUGCAUAAUGUCUUUUUAAUUGGUAUGUUAUUGUUUUACUCUUUUGUUGGUUUCAGUUAUUGAACUGCAACAUCUUCAGGAGUUAAUUCAAUCAUAUUGACUGCAGUACUUUUUUUACUGGUAACUAUUUGUUGAACUGUUAAGUUACAUGCACCAUAAGCACUUGUUUUCAGACUGGUGUAAACAUAACUACUGACACACAUACAUACAUGUGUGUGUAACGGUGUACAGACACGUAUACUUUGAGAAAUAUACUGUUUACAUCUGCCAAAUUCCAUUUAAAUAGUACUAGUCAACCCAAAGGUAUACUAGAAGACACUAACUCAGUGUGACAUGCACUGGGAUUGAACCUGGAAUAUGUGGUUGUGAAGCAAAUUUUUUAGCCAUGCUGCAGUGUCUGUGCUUAUGGUAAAAAUUUUUCUGAAGAUGUACAAUUUUAACAUUGAAGAUAUUUUCUCAGGAUCACAAACCUGAAGAAGCAGCAUUAACCUUUUAACAUUCAGAUUAUUCUGUCAAAAGUAAGGCUUAUUUAUUCACACUGUUUUGAAUUAAACAUGCAUUACCUUUAGCUUUGAGAUUUUGAUGAGGUAACUGUUAAUUUUUAGAAUGAUAUUGUGUGAGGUUGGUGUGAGAGGCCAGAUCUGGCCAGUUUGAACAUAAAACAUCCGGACUAUUUUAGCCAGUUAUGGCUGGUUUAAAUACUAAAGGUUAAGCAAUAUGAUUUUGGAUUAAAAACAAUUGUUACAUUCUAGGACAUUUUUUUUUUCUAAAUAAAUAAACUCUACAUAUUUUAAAAUUGUUUGUUCGGUUAGUUUCAUCUGUUGCUACUUACUUCUUGUUUAAAACUUCAGGUCAGCUUUGAUUGAACAGAUCUAUGAUCAAAGGUGUAGUUGUUCCAAUAGUGACCAUCUCAUCUUUUCUUCAGACAUAUUAUAUCAAUAACUAUCCCAUCUAAUGUGUACUUUCUUGUAUCCUUAUGAGAUGGAAAUAAACAUAUGCGUUUUCAUUUCUUCAGCAAUGCAUUCCUUUUAUAUCUUCCUUUUCAUGAAUAUUAAGAUAACAGGGAAAUUUAUUUUGCUUUAUCCAAAUAAUUCUAAAUUAGAUAUUUGAAAAAAAUAAAUGCUACCAUGAAUUAAAAUUGAAAAAAGAAUAAUGAAAUAAUAUUGAAUAAUGUUAAGAUAAAAAAUGUCUUUAUGCCAGCAUGCUUGUUAACUGUAAGAAAGUAGCCUUAAAUUUUAGCUAUAGUUUCAGCUAUUCAUAUUAGAUUCUAUCGUGCAUGAUUUCUUUAGUAUGCAUCUGAACAGAGUAUUAGUGACUUCAAAGGUUUACUCUAGCAAUGUGUUUGUAUGUUUUGUGUCUACACAUUUAAACUGAAUAGCAUAGUGCAUUCUUAGAAUAUUACUGUACACUCUAAGAAAUUUCUUUAUCAACACGCAUAUACAUACACAUAGACACCCAAAUAUAUGCCAACCAACUCUGAAAGGUUAUCAUAAUUUCUAGUUGUGUAUAACACUGGUUCUCAAACUGAUAAAUAUUAUUUAUUACCUCCACC
This 5381-nucleotide long non-coding RNA is filed under the name Octopus vulgaris (common octopus). The record is from RNAcentral. Lineage: Eukaryota; Metazoa; Mollusca; Cephalopoda; Octopoda; Octopodidae.